Molecule: transfer RNA, 23 nt
Filed under: Saponaria prostrata subsp. prostrata
Lineage: Eukaryota; Viridiplantae; Streptophyta; Magnoliopsida; Caryophyllales; Caryophyllaceae
Description: partial tRNA-Gly
Source: RNAcentral
UCGGGUAUAGUUUAGUGGUAAAA